This 252-nucleotide ribosomal RNA is filed under the name uncultured bacterium. RNAcentral describes it as "partial 16S ribosomal RNA". It matches the Rfam family "Bacterial small subunit ribosomal RNA", at positions 524 to 776 of the family's 1533-position model. The record is from RNAcentral.
UACGUAGGUCCCGAGCGUUGUCCGGAUUUAUUGGGCGUAAAGCGAGCGCAGGUGGUUUAUUAAGUCUGGUGUAAAAGGCAGUGGCUCAACCAUUGUAUGCAUUGGAAACUGGUAGACUUGAGUGCAGGAGAGGAGAGUGGAAUUCCAUGUGUAGCGGUGAAAUGCGUAGAUAUAUGGAGGAACACCGGUGGCGAAAAUGGCUCUCUGGCCUGUAACUGACACUGAGGCUCGAAAGCGUGGGGAGCAAACAGG